RNAcentral lists this ribosomal RNA (431 nucleotides) under uncultured bacterium. RNAcentral's name for it is "partial 16S ribosomal RNA". It matches the Rfam family "Bacterial small subunit ribosomal RNA", at positions 29 to 507 of the family's 1533-position model. The record is from RNAcentral.
AGCGAACGCUGGCGGCAGGCUUAACACAUGCAAGUCGAGCGGGCCCUUCGGGGUCAGCGGCGGACGGGUGAGUAACGCGUGGGAACGUGCCUUCUGGUCUGGAAUAACCCUGGGAAACUAGGGCUAAUACCGGAUACGCCCUUUUGGGGAAAGGUACUGCCGGAAGAUCGGCCCGCGUCUGAUUAGCUAGUUGGUGGGGUAACGGCCUACCAAGGCGACGAUCAGUAGCUGGUCUGAGAGGAUGAUCAGCCACACUGGGACUGAGACACGGCCCAGACUCCUACGGGAGGCAGCAGUGGGGAAUAUUGGACAAUGGGCGCAAGCCUGAUCCAGCCAUGCCGCGUGAGUGAUGAAGGCCUUAGGGUUGUAAAGCUCUUUUAUCCGGGACGAUAAUGACGGUACCGGAGGAAUAAGCCCCGGCUAACUUCGUG